Molecule: ribosomal RNA, 348 nt
Filed under: Staphylococcus nepalensis
Lineage: Bacteria; Bacillati; Bacillota; Bacilli; Caryophanales; Staphylococcaceae
Description: bacterial SSU rRNA
Rfam family: Bacterial small subunit ribosomal RNA
Source: RNAcentral
UUUAUGGAGAGUUUGAUCCUGGCUCAGGAUGAACGCUGGCGGCGUGCCUAAUACAUGCAAGUCGAGCGAACAGAUAAGGAGCUUGCUCCUUUGACGUUAGCGGCGGACGGGUGAGUAACACGUGGGUAACCUACCUAUAAGACUGGAAUAACUCCGGGAAACCGGGGCUAAUGCCGGAUAAUAUUUAGAACCGCAUGGUUCUAAAGUGAAAGAUGGUUUUACUAUCACUUAUAGAUGGACCCGCGCCGUAUUAGCUAGUUGGUGGGGUAAUGGCUUACCAAGGCAACGAUACGUAGCCGACCUGAGAGGGUGAUCGGCCACACUGGAACUGAGACACGGUCCAGACUC